CCAGGGUGAAUAACUGCAUAAAGAGGAAGAUGGAAAGCUCUGUUUGGGUAAGAUAGAUAAGGGUCUUGUUUACCUGGCUUAGGUGUUUAGACUCUAUCAGCUAGGCAACUGGAAGUCAUUAGAGGUUUUCAAUCAGGAAGAUGACAUAACCAGAUCUGCAUUUUGGAAAGAUAACUGGCAUCAUCAAUGAGAUAAAUGGAUCUGUAACAAGAGAGAUGAGGCAAGGAGUCUACUCAGGAGAAAUCUGUGAUACACUGUGACAGAUGGUGAGAACCUGCAGUAAGGUGGAAGGAAGCAUUGAUGCUUCAGAGCAAUUUUCUCUGUGCUCUCUGGAAGGCCCGAACCCUAAAUCCAAGCCAAUGUAUUGAUUUCAAGGACCCACAAGGCGCUUUACAACUUUAUUUAGCACUUCAAGAAUAUACAUCUUUGCCGAGCACCUUUUUAGACAUUUCUUAACCAAACCUCUUAAGCUCCUUAGAAAUGAAAGGAUAAUACAUUUUCUUCAGUAUUAGAGAAAACAUUCAAAUAGAAAUUCUGUUACUAUGACCUAGGGCUUCUGCAUCAAUGUCUUGAGAGCAUCUACUGAUCUACUUCUCUAUUUGUCAUUAAUCUUGUACAUCUGAUGAUACAGCAAAAGCUACAGUGGUGUCUAAUUUCAAAUUGUAUCUCCCUUCCUUAUUAGUUUUGCUCUGUUCAAUUUCAUGAGCCAGCCAAAAUGAUGAAAAGACAUGGCAUUUGUUUGAAAUUAGAGGAAAAAAAAAGUAGGGUGGGUAGGAAUGCACUAACCAUGGAAUCAGAGAACAAGGCUUUAGAAUUGUUCUAGUCAAUAUUUUCAUUUUAGAGAUGAAGAAAUCUUGACCCAGUGAGAUAAGUGAUUUGCCCAACAUAAAAUUAACUGCUAACAAGCCCACAAGAAACCAUGUGAUUGUUAACCCAUUUUUUCUAAAGCUGUUUAUUUUAUAAAUUAUAACAAUGUUGUUAACAAAAUUUUGGGAAAGAAGUUAUUGUUCAAGGAUCCACAGAAAAGAUAAAUAUAUUUUUACCCUUCUUAAAUUAGGAAGAAGCUUGUUUUAUUUGUAUUUUUAUUAAAUGAGAGCGAUAGUCAUUUAAUAUUUAGCUACACAGUUGCAUUAAUAUCCUAAUCCUCUAAUGGCACUAAAACAUAUAUAAUGAAUUUGAAACCAUUGAUUAAAAUGAUUAUUUCUUCAGGUCCAAUAUAUGAAUUCUUAAAGAGAUCAGUCAAAGAUAUCCUUUGGGGUACCUUAAUGAUGAUUUAAAUCCUACAGCAUGAUUGAGUUGGUCAAUUUCUCUUUCUUGAGCUGAUUUUUAACCUUUUUUUUCUCCCUAGCUACAGCCUAUUGAUGGUUUGUAUUUUGAUAGCAAUUAACAACUGUAAAUGCAUUAGUAUUUAAGUCCACCUAUGAGUUUUAGAACAGUGUAAUUAUUCCAGGACAGCACUGAACGGGGCUGCUAGGUAGAAUUUGUGCAUUGCAUACAUUUCCAUUUCUUCAUUUAUUCAGAAUACAAGUAAUGUAAGGCUCACUGAGCAAACCUCACAACAAUGACACAUUGUUCAAAUUCAGGAAUAAGGGUGUUCUACUUUUACUUCCUAUUAUUCUAAAAAAAGUAGCAAAAUUUUGAUAAAGUUACUUGGGGACAAAGUCAUGUAUGUAAAAAUAAAAAUGCUCUUCUGAAAGAACAAAAUAUCUAAACAAAACUUGAAGAAGUAGAAAAAAUGCCUUUGCAUAUUUGUCAGAAGUAGUAUUAAUAACUGCAUGAUUCCAAAACACGUAGAUAUUUUGGAAAAAAUAUUCAGUAAAGAUUAACCAUCUCUAUGAUUCUAACACUAAGAAUAUAGAGGAGGCUCAAUAAAUUAAUGUUGAAUGUCUAAUCCAAAUUUGAUAUUAACUAAUAAGUACAGCCACAUAAUCUCUUACCACAUUUCUUAAAUUCUUCCUCAUUACUAGAAAGUAACAUCCCCUACUUUAAAAGAUCAAAAUAAAAGCUGGUUUAAUUGACUCUAGUUUUUGUAUGCAUUUGUGAAGGUGCAUAUCAUUUUCACAUAAAUUGGAAAGAAACUGUUAUUGCUAAUACUAGUCUCUAUUGUCUGUCUGCACACUUCACCUAGGACUAUGGAUUGUGUGUUGAAACUUCCAGUGUUUGAAGAUCUGCUUCUUUGCCCUUUGAACCGUAAGUCACUUUUGUCCCCAAAUAUUGUUUGCUGCAUUCUGAUUGAUCUGUGUGCUUUUGCAUCUUCCCCAGGAUUCCACAACUAUGCCACAUUGCUUAAACCGUGCAGAGUGAGCACAAAUAUUUGAUAAGCAAAGGUGAUUUUUCUAAGUCUUUGUACAGGAAGAAAUGGCAUUGUUGCUAGUGUAUGAUUUUCAUAUGUCUCAUUGUGAUGGUUAAAUUAAAACAAAACAAAACAAAANNNNNNNNNNNNNNNNNNNNNNNNNNNNAAAUUAAAGACAAUUCUCUGUACUGGUACAUAUAUAAAUUAGGAUUACCUUAGCUGGGUCUCUGUAAUCAUUAGCAGUAAUGUGCUUAUUAACUUGUUAGUUUAAUACAUAUGGCAUCAAAGUAAAACCUAAUGAUGGAAUCAAGCAAAAUCACAAAAUGAUCGUUUUCUCUCUUUACCCUAAGCUGAGCAAGGAACCUUUCCAAGCAGUGUGAACUCACUGGCUUCCCCAUAACGCUACAGAGCUCACACUGCCAUAUAACUGGGAAUCGGAGAGGUGAGGUCAUUUCAUCACUCCUUGGAAAAAAAUGCAAAACGUCUGCUAAAAUCUGACUUCAUUUGAUUUACUCUCCAAGACUGUUUUUUAUUAAAUAUGUUUGACUGCUAUCUCUAAUUAAAUGUAGAAUUAAUUUUGGCAAACUAACCACAGAUGCAGUUUAUGUUCAAUUUUAUCAGACAGAUUUAUUUAUAAGCUGUCAACUUCUUGAAAGACUUCAUUUUGGAGCAGUUUUAAAUUGCUAACAGUAGCUGUAAAUGGAGCUACUGUUCUCUGGAACACUAAAGGAAAAGUAUGCUAUAAAUGUCCAUUCCAUCUGUGAGGAAUCAUAAAACAAUCACAUUCCUUUAUUUUUUUUUCCUCCGUAGGACCUUUAUUAAAUUAGUUCAACUCAAUUAAAAAUAACUUCAAAAACAUUUCAGAGCCCUUUGUUUCAUGGAAUACUUGGAACUCUCUGCACGGAACGUCACCCUUUUAACUAAUCCCUUUUAGUAAAUGGAGGAGAAUAGUGGUAUUGUGACUUCAGACAGUGCUUUCAAGGGUCUCUACUGUACCGAAUUGAGGUCACUGCAAGACAAUGCUCAACACCCAAUAGCCAUUCAAACAUUCUUCACAACUCUAUCAAACGUGUCUUUCUUUCUCUCACCCGCUUUCUCUCAUGGCAAACUCAGAGGACAAUGGAAAAGCCUCUAGCACCAUUUAUGGUCACCAUAUUUGCACAUGACAAAGUCUAUUCUUCCUGGUUUGCCAACUCCCUGUAAAAAGAAUGAACCCUAGGAUAGAUUUUCCCACCAUUACUGUUAUUCAAACUUAUUUUGUAUUUAAUUAUUUUUGUUGUUGUUGUUAGAGGGCUGCUCCAUGGCAUUUGAGAAGCUGACUUGCUAUUUUCGUGCAUGUGUAACAAAGCAGAGACUAAAUGCAGAAUUAAAUAUGUCACAUUAUAGCCAGCAUAUGCAUGAUGGAGCGCACAAUUUAGUACAAAACGGAGACAAAUGAGGAAAUUGGAAUUAUUAUACCUUGUCUUCUUGUCUAACAUUAACAGUAUUAUAAAACUUACUGUUUACCCAUGAACCACCAUGCUUGUGCCCCACAAGCACUAUUUAGUUUUGCUUGGGAGUUUUUAUGGCUGCAGCCACAAACAAACAAAAUCAAUUGCUGUAAAUUUUUCUCACCAGGGCUGCUCCUUUUUGAACGAAGAAAAAAAGAAAAAAAAAGAUGUAUCCAGAGCAUCGUCCUCCAAACAAACAAGAGGAGCACAUAUUUGCAAGCUAUAUAGUAAAGUUGUUGCAAUGAAGAUUUUGAUUUUAAUUAAGAAUGGGAUUUGUAGGACAAUUAGUGAGAUGUAAUAUUCUUUGCAAGAAACAGUACCCUUAUUGGAAAUACCACCUAAAAUGGAGCGGGGGCAUUUGGAGCUGCACAGAGACUUAUAUCUAUGGGUUUCUACAGUUAAUGAGAAAGAAAAAUACAAGGAAAAUGUAGGUACCUCACCUGAAAUGCAGGAAUACAAAUACCGUUUGCCUGGUUUUUUUCCCCCUCCUUAAUUUUUCUUUUUAAUUUAAACCAUAGAAAUCUGUGCUGUUGAGAUUUCAACCAGGUAAUCAUCUUAUCAUUAAUACGUUUAUGUUAUUUCUUCACAUUGACUUUAAACCACUGAUCAUUAGGAGUAUACCUCAUCUUUUUUGAUGAUUUUACAAGGACAUAAUAAUAUACUUAAUAGUAAUAAAGGCAACGAACUCUCCAGUUAUUUUUGGUAUGCUCAGCUGUCCUGACAUUAAAA
RNAcentral lists this long non-coding RNA (4512 nucleotides) under Lynx pardinus (Iberian lynx). The record is from RNAcentral. Lineage: Eukaryota; Metazoa; Chordata; Mammalia; Carnivora; Felidae.